GUUCAUGUUAUAUGUUCAGUCAUGCAUCACUAGUAUCUACAGAUUUCACGUACCUUCAGUAUUUACAGACUUUCAUGCAUACACAGUAUUUAUAGAUUUCAUAUAUUUUUAGUAUCUACGAAUCCCAUGCCCUCUAUUCAGUACACCAUAUUUUAUAUGUAUAUUUAGACAUUUGUUAUUCCUGUUCAUGAAACCAUGCAUGUCAGCCUACCUCAUUUAGCAUAUCAGUACAU
Molecule: long non-coding RNA, 233 nt
Filed under: Capsicum annuum
Lineage: Eukaryota; Viridiplantae; Streptophyta; Magnoliopsida; Solanales; Solanaceae
Description: long non-coding RNA (CANN_LNC008481)
Source: RNAcentral